UAGGGAAUCUUCGGCAAUGGAUGGAAGUCUGACCGAGCAACGCCGCGUGAGUGAAGAAGGUUUUCGGAUCGUAAAGCUCUGUUGUAAGAGAAGAACGAGUGUGAGAGUGGAAAGUUCACACUGUGACGGUAUCUUACCAGAAAGGGACGGCUAACUACGUGCCAGCAGCCGCGGUAAUACGUAGGUCCCGAGCGUUGUCCGGAUUUAUUGGGCGUAAAGCGAGCGCAGGCGGUUAGAUAAGUCUGAAGUUAAAGGCUGUGGCUUAACCAUAGUACGCUUUGGAAACUGUUUAACUUGAGUGCAAGAGGGGAGAGUGGAAUUCCAUGUGUAGCGGUGAAAUGCGUAGAUAUAUGAAGGAACACCGGUGGCGAAAGCGGCUCUCUGGCUUGUAACUGACGCUGAGGCUCGAAAGCGUGGGGAGCAAACAGGAUUAGAUACCCUGGUAGUCCACGCCGUAAACGAUGAGUGCUAGGUGUUAGACCCUUUCCGGGGUUUAGUGCCGUAGCUAACGCAUUAAGCACUCCGCCUGGGGAGUACGACCGCAAGGUUG
RNAcentral lists this ribosomal RNA (550 nucleotides) under uncultured bacterium. RNAcentral describes it as "bacterial SSU rRNA". It matches the Rfam family "Bacterial small subunit ribosomal RNA", at positions 355 to 896 of the family's 1533-position model. The record is from RNAcentral.